RNAcentral lists this long non-coding RNA (1214 nucleotides) under Capra hircus (goat). RNAcentral's name for it is "lncRNA (ENSCHIG00010018942.1)". Lineage: Eukaryota; Metazoa; Chordata; Mammalia; Artiodactyla; Bovidae. The record is from RNAcentral.
UUUGAGGUUUGUAAAAUCGUUCUAAUUUCAGUUGUCACUAGCACAGUAGCCAACUUCUUUGGAGCACAAAAAAGCACGUAGGUGGGCCAAAAUAAUUUUUUAUUUUUACCAUGAUUAGACUGGAAGAGUAAUUUUAUCUAACUGCUUAAAACAUCUUUUUCAAAGAUUUUAAUAGAAUGUUUUUUUUUCUCCCAUUAAAUGCAAACGAAACUGCAUGGACUACACAUAGGGGGCAAUUGUCUCUGACACUGAAGUGCUCCCUUCACAAACAGUAGUUUCUAGGUGGGAAUUAUUAACAAGGAGAACGAUGCCAGUGUUCUGGCUCUAUCUCCUCAACCUGGGAAACUAUAUUGUGAUCAAGAAUACCAAGUCCUUCCCACUUUUCUUUUCCUUCCACUUGUUAAAUUUUGGUACACUGCAUAUAAAAUUAAACAGCAAGUAAAAAAAUGGGCUUCAUAUCUAUCUUAUUUGUUUAAAUUUUGAUAGCGACUUUGCUUGUUUUCACUUACAGAUUUCAGAACAUUUUGAAAUGGCAUUUUGAAGUUGGAUCUUGAAGCGCAGGCAAUCAAGUGAUAGGGUGCAAAAGUCAGCAGAGAGAGGAAAGGAAGGAAGCGGCAGGAAAUGAGGAAGCAGAGGUAGCGAAGAGCACGGCACACCGGGAACUCUAAGCUGCUGGGACAGCUGGAGCACACGGCACAACGGGGAACUGCGGCGAGGAAACGGGGCUAGGGAGGCUGUGCUUCCCCCUCUCCUUUGGCAAAAAUCCCCAUCUUUAUCUCUGAAUGAGACUCAAAAGAAGACUUGGAAAAUAGAGUGAAUUUAAGAGAUGGAGAACUGGAUUAGCAUCCCAGGAUUCUACUGAUCUUGGACUCUCUCUGAUCUUCUUAGGGGGAAUAAAACGUUGAAAGGUCCCAGUGACAGCUAGAUAAAUGUUGGCUGAAUUGGAAUGUGCUGCAGAUAUUAGGCAAUCUGGGGUCCUGGUUAAAGUGUAUGAAGUACUCUCAAGGUAGAGGGAGGACUAGAUCAGGCUGGGAAAAAAAAAACCCUUAAGACUGUUCACACAGGAAAGUUUAAGGAGUGACCCUAUUGAACUUGGAGUACUUGCUUUUAGAAUAAAUGAACUGUAGAAGAUGUCCUUAACUCAAUGUAAGAGCAGAGUGGUUUAUAAUCUCCGCUGACAGGCCAAACAGAUCAUUAAAUAUUCUGUCUUUGUC